CCUACGGGAGGCUGCAGUGGGGAAUAUUGGACAAUGGGGGCAACCCUGAUCCAGCCAUGCCGCGUGUGUGAAGAAGGCCCUCGGGUUGUAAAGCACUUUCAGUGACGAAGAACGCCUGGUGGUUAAUACCCAUCAGGAAAGACAUCACUCACAGAAGAAGCACCGGCUAACUCCGUGCCAGCAGCCGCGGUAAUACGGAGGGUGCGAGCGUUAAUCGGAAUUACUGGGCGUAAAGCGCGCGUAGGUGGCUUGAUAAGCCGGUUGUGAAAGCCCCGGGCUCAACCUGGGAACGGCAUCCGGAACUGUCAAGCUAGAGUGCAGGAGAGGAAGGUAGAAUUCCCGGUGUAGCGGUGAAAUGCGUAGAGAUCGGGAGGAAUACCAGUGGCAAAGGCGGCCUUCUGGACUGACACUGACACUGAGGUGCGAAAGCGUGGGUAGCAAACAGGAUUAGAUACCCUGGUGGUC
This 465-nucleotide ribosomal RNA is filed under the name Vreelandella stevensii. Its description in RNAcentral is "partial 16S ribosomal RNA". It matches the Rfam family "Bacterial small subunit ribosomal RNA", at positions 338 to 795 of the family's 1533-position model. The record is from RNAcentral. Lineage: Bacteria; Pseudomonadati; Pseudomonadota; Gammaproteobacteria; Oceanospirillales; Halomonadaceae.